This is a long non-coding RNA of Gossypium arboreum, 595 nucleotides long. RefSeq lists it as uncharacterized. The transcript has 3 exons. Lineage: Eukaryota; Viridiplantae; Streptophyta; Magnoliopsida; Malvales; Malvaceae. The record is from RefSeq and is a predicted model, not a curated record.
AGAAAAUGAUAAAAAGCUUAUAAAAGCCAUCAAUCAUGGCGCUUCACUAAAUACAAAUCAAUUAAUCUAGUUUUUCCUAGAUUUCUUCAUGAUUUGUGAGUGAAAUCAAUGGAGAGGAACAAUAAUUACAUUAAUUUCAUGAGAAGACAUUCAUGAGAGUUUUGGAGGAGUGAGAAAAUACAGAUUAGACUUGAAUGUAAGUGUUUGAGUGUAUUUUAAUAUGGAAAAAUGAAGAAAAAGUGAAGGAAGUUGAUAAACAAAUAGAGAAAUAAAGCAAGGAAAUGGACAAAGGGAAGAGGAGAAGAAAGUUGAUUUCAAGCCUAAAGUUGUUAAGAGUAGAAGAAAAUGAUCUUUGAAGGUUGAAGGCUCCUCAUCUCAUCACAUCAGUGGAUUCGAGAAAGGAAUAAAGUAUUUAUUUUUUCAUUUCAAGAAAUGGCAUGUACCUGGGUGGGUGUAUUAAGGUUGAAUGUGAAGGAAACUUAAACGUGAAAUUUGAUGUUUGCUUAAAUUAUAUGAAAUAAAUUAUAUGUUAAUUAAGUGGUACAAGAAAAUUGGGUUUUAAAAUGCUUAAUUACGAUUUAUAUUUGAAUUAAAU